AUGCAGUGGGAUGAAGCAAUCCAUGGGUCUUAGGAAAAGAGAGGCAAUUAGUUGGAGUGAAUUAAGGACUUUUAAAUGCCCUUCCUCCAAAUACAAUUUCAAGUUUGUUCAUACUUUGCCAAUUUCUCUGCUAGAAUUCCAGAAAAUGCAGCAAAAAAGGAAAGUGUUUAUGGAUUGAUAAUCACACUAAUAGCAAAGGAUGUUGGCAAAAGCAUGGCGAACCGGCAAGUCACGAAACGGCAAUGGACUCCGUUUUGGAGUCUU
Molecule: small RNA, 264 nt
Filed under: Nicotiana tabacum (common tobacco)
Lineage: Eukaryota; Viridiplantae; Streptophyta; Magnoliopsida; Solanales; Solanaceae
Description: Early nodulin 40
Rfam family: Early nodulin 40
Source: Rfam by way of RNAcentral